RNAcentral lists this long non-coding RNA (344 nucleotides) under Hordeum vulgare. Its description in RNAcentral is "long non-coding RNA (HVUL_LNC009419)". Lineage: Eukaryota; Viridiplantae; Streptophyta; Magnoliopsida; Poales; Poaceae. The record is from RNAcentral.
UCCUCUUCUUUUCUUCUCCUCCUAGUCUUAUUUUGUUCUCCCCUUUUUCUUCUACCUCUCUUCUUCUUCUACUUCUCCUGUUCUUCUAUUUUUCCUCUUCUUCCCCGCUCCUCCUCUUCUUGUUCUCCUUCUUCUUCUUUUCCUCCUCUUCUUCCUCUCCUCCUCUUCCUCUAAUAAUUCUAAAACAGAAUUAACCUAAAACCUAAUUCUAAAUAUUACUAACCCUAAUAAUUCUAACGAAAAACAAAAUUAAUCUAAAACAAAAUUAAAAAAACUUUAUUCCCUCUCCUUCCUCGUCCUCUUCUUCCUCUCCUUCCUCUUCUCCUCCUCCUCUUCUUCCUCUU